AUUCCAGCUCCAAUAGCGUAUAUUAAUGUUGUUGCAGUUAAAACGCUCGUAGUCGGAUUUCGGGGCGGGGCUUCCGGUCUGCCGUUGGGUAUGCACUGGAUGCCGCGUCCUUCCUUCCGGAGACCGUUCCUACUCUUAACUGAGCGGGGUCGGGAGACGGAUCUUUUACUUUGAAAAAAUCAGAGUGUUUCAAGCAGGCAUAUCGCUUUUGCAUGGAUUAGCAUGGGAUAAUGAAAUAGGACUUUGGUGCUAUUUUGUUGGUUUCGAACACCGAAGUAAUGAUUAACAGGGACAGUCAGGGGCACUAAUAUUCCGUUGAGAGAGGUGAAAUUCUUAGACCAGCGGAAGAUUAACCACUGCGAAAGCAUUUGCCAGGGAUGUUUUCAUCG
This 389-nucleotide ribosomal RNA is filed under the name Prymnesiophyceae sp. Its description in RNAcentral is "partial small subunit ribosomal RNA". It matches the Rfam family "Eukaryotic small subunit ribosomal RNA", at positions 582 to 975 of the family's 1831-position model. Lineage: Eukaryota; Haptophyta. The record is from RNAcentral.